Molecule: ribosomal RNA, 325 nt
Filed under: uncultured bacterium
Lineage: Bacteria
Description: bacterial SSU rRNA
Rfam family: Bacterial small subunit ribosomal RNA
Source: RNAcentral
GAUGAACGCUAGCUACAGGCUUAACACAUGCAAGUCGAGGGGAAACGAUAUUGGAAGCUUGCUUCCGAUAGGCGUCGACCGGCGCACGGGUGAGUAACGCGUAUCCAACCUGCCCAUCACUUGGGGAUAACCUUGCGAAAGUAAGACUAAUACCCAAUGACGUCUCUAGAAGACAUCUGAAGGAGAUUAAAGAUUUAUCGGUGAUGGAUGGGGAUGCGUCUGAUUAGCUUGUUGGCGGGGUAAACGGGCCCACCCAAAGGCGACGAUCAGUAAGGGGUUCGUGAGAGGAAGGUCCCCACCAUUGGAACUGAGACACGGUCCAAAC